RNAcentral lists this long non-coding RNA (425 nucleotides) under Crocodylus porosus (Australian saltwater crocodile). RNAcentral describes it as "lncRNA (ENSCPRG00005002581.1)". Lineage: Eukaryota; Metazoa; Chordata; Crocodylia; Crocodylidae. The record is from RNAcentral.
CAGGCCAUGAAUAACUUUUAUAGUCAGCAGAUGUUGCCCUCUGCAGCAUGCCAGAAGCAUUUCCACUGCUGUAAAAGGAAAAAAAAGUAUGCAUAAGCUGUCCGGAUCAGACAACCUUCAUAGCACAAUCAAUCGCUUAUAAAAUGAUGCAAAACCAGACGAACACUAGAAAGAAAUGAGCACUGCCUACCUCCCUGAAGUAAGGUUCUUGGUGGCACAGUUGUCUUUGCCAGCCUGCAGUAGAUUUCUUCAUCAGUACAAUUCAGACUGGCCUUUUCCUGUUCACUGAGAAGACCUCCCAUCAAUACAUGGAACAAAUAUACAAUUGGGCUCCAACAGAAAUCUUCCGAGGAGGAGUCAGUCCAAAAGGAGAGAUGAUGACGACUGGAGGGAUGACUUUUUUGAGAGGGCUAUGCCUUGCUUGA